This 362-nucleotide ribosomal RNA is filed under the name marine Metazoa environmental sample. Its description in RNAcentral is "SSU rRNA". It matches the Rfam family "Eukaryotic small subunit ribosomal RNA", at positions 587 to 972 of the family's 1831-position model. The record is from RNAcentral. Lineage: Eukaryota; Metazoa.
AGCUCUCAAUGUGUAUAUCGUCAUUGCUGCGGUUAAAAAGCUCGUAGUUGGAUCUGAGACAGCGGAGGUGGUGCUCUCUGAGUAACUGCCGUUCGUGUCUGAAUGUCGGUUUGGCGUAGCCUUCGGGUUGCGUUGACUGGCGUGAUUACCUUGAAUAAAUUAAAGUGCUCAAAACAGGCGUUACGCUUGUAUAUCCGAUCAUGGAAUAAUGGAAUAUGACUUCGGUUUGUUCUGUUGGUCUUAGAACCGAAAUAAUGGUUAAGCGGGACUGACGGGGGCAUACGUAUCGUUGCGAUAGAGGUGAAAUUCUUGGACCGCAGCGGGACGCCCAAUUGCGAAAGCAUUUGCCAAGAAUGUCUUCA